GAUGAACGCUGGCGGCGUGCCUAACACAUGCAAGUCGAGCGAUUCUCUUCGGAGAAGAGCGGCGGACGGGUGAGUAACGCGUGGGUAACCUGCCCUGUACACACGGAUAACAUACCGAAAGGUAUGCUAAUACGAGAUAAUAUGCUUUUAUCGCAUGGUAGAAGUAUCAAAGCUUUUGCGGUACAGGAUGGACCCGCGUCUGAUUAGCUAGUUGGUGAGGUAACGGCUCACCAAGGCGACGAUCAGUAGCCGACCUGAGAGGGUGAUCGGCCACAUUGGAACUGAGACACGGUCCAAACUCCUACGGGAGGCAGCAGUGGGGAAUAUUGCACAAUGGGCGAAAGCCUGAUGCAGCAACGCCGCGUGAGCGAUGAAGGCCUUCGGGUCGUAAAGCUCUGUCCUCAAGGAAGAUAAUGACGGUACUUGAGGAGGAAGCCCCGGCUAACUGC
Molecule: ribosomal RNA, 449 nt
Filed under: uncultured bacterium
Lineage: Bacteria
Description: bacterial SSU rRNA
Rfam family: Bacterial small subunit ribosomal RNA
Source: RNAcentral